RNAcentral lists this long non-coding RNA (579 nucleotides) under Trifolium pratense (red clover). Its description in RNAcentral is "long non-coding RNA (TPRA_LNC000112)". The record is from RNAcentral. Lineage: Eukaryota; Viridiplantae; Streptophyta; Magnoliopsida; Fabales; Fabaceae.
GCAUUAUAAUAAUUACGUAUUUAUCAUUCAUUUAUUUUAUUAGUUCAAUUUCAGUAGCAUAGAUUAUGCGAAAAUUAGUGCUGAUAAUGUAAAAUUGGGAGAACAAAAUGACACUUGAACAAUGUAAGAAAAGCACUAACAUUCACUUGCAUACAACACAUGAUAAUAAUUCACAUUCCCUGAGGAAAACAUUACAAUAAGGUAUACUGAACAGAAAACACAAGACCGCGCUCACUCGCUCACUUUCCGGGAACAAAGUUGGUGGCAAAAGCCCAAGCGUUGUUGUUGACUGGGUCAGCAAGAUGGUCAGCAAGGUUCUCCAAAGGACCCUUUCCGGUCACAAUAGCCUGGACAAAGAAUCCAAACAUAGAGAACAUAGCUAACCUACCGUUUUUGAGUUCCUUAACCUUUAAUUCUGCGAAAGCUUCUGGGUCGUCAGCUAGGCCUAAUGGGUCAAAGCUGCCACCUGGGUAAAGUGGGUCAACUACUUCACCAAGAGGCCCACCUGCAAUACGGUAUCCUUCAACUGCGCCCAUCAAGAUAACUUGAGUGGCCCAGAUGGCAAGGAUACUUUGAGCG